UUAAUACUAAAUUUUGAUAUCCAUAUUCACAUCUUAUCGAAUUCAGUGUCGAAUUCGGUCAAAGUUAAUCCUAACCACUUUCACACCUAUAUUUUCUACCAUCAUCUAACAUCAACAAAUACAAUGUCGAUAAUACAUUUAAAAUAGAGUUAAUUGCAUACAGCUCCCUAUAAAUAUAGUGAAUUAUAACCCAUAAAGUCAACUUUCUUAUAUUGUCCCUAUAAAAGUCUAGUGAUAUUUAUAUUUGUCUCUCUAAUUUAUUACCGUUAGAGCAGAUAAGUGAAAUGUUAAUUUUGCCGUCACAAAUAUGUCCCUUCAAAACCCCAACUGCUAUAAUCUUGCAAAAAUGUCAUCUCAAAAAAUUUUUAAUACUCAUCUUCUUUCUCUUUAAAACCCAACUCAAUCCACCAGUCUCUUCGCUCACUUUUUUUCUUCAAAUCUUUUCUUUUGACCAAAAUAAAAAAAAAUUAUAGAGGAAAUUGAAUGGAGAAACAAUAUGCGUUCAAUAUUAGAAAAGCAACACGUGUAGUAGAUGAAUGGAGAUGAAGAAAUUCUAGUAACGUGUUCGAAAUUAGCAUAAAGGAGAGAGAGAGAGAGAGAGGAAGAGGAAGGGAAAAAAGAGUUUCCAUUGUUAGAGUUUUAAUUGAGAGAAGAAGGUAAAAGUGUCAAUUUAUUUCAUUGACUAAGCAUGAUUGAAUAUCUUACCUAUGAUUAACUAAAUUUUUCUAACGGAUCCUAAUAACAGAAAUAUAUUUGAAAAUAUUCAGGCUUUUGUAGUGAUACCACAAAAAAAUUAAAUUUUAUAUAAAUAUAUUUAUAAUUUCCUAUUCAUCUAUUUUACNCGGUAAUACAUUUAAAAUAGGGUUAAUUGCAUACAGCUCCCUAUAAACAUAGUGAAUUAUAACCCAUAAAGUCAACUUUCUUAUAUUGUCCCUAUAAAAGUCUAAUGAUAUUUAUAUUUGUCUCUCUAAUUUAUUACCGUUAGAGAACUGUUUGUUUUUUAAGAGCAAAUAAGUGAAAUGUUAAUUUUGUCGUCACAAAUAUGUUCCUUCAAAACCCCAACUGCUAUAAUCUUGCAAAAAUGUCAUCUCAAAAAAUUUUUAAUACUCAUCUUCUUUCUCUUUAAAACCCAACUCAAUCCACCAGUCUCUUCGCUCACUUUUUUUCUUCAAAUCCUUUCUUUUGACCAAAAUGAGAAAAAAUUAUAGAGGAAAUUGAAUGGAGAAAUAAUACGCGUUCAAUAUUGGAAAAGCAACACGUGUAGUAGAUGAAUGGAGAUGAAGAAAUUCUAGUAACUUGUUCGAAAUUAGCAUAAAGGAGAGAGAGAGGAAGAGGUAGGGAAAAAAGAGUUUCCAUUGUUAGAGUUUUAAUUAAGAGAAGAAGGUAAAAGUGUCAAUUUAUUUCAUUGACUAAGCAGGAUUGAAUAUCUUACCUAUGAUUAACUAAAUUUUUCUAACGGAUCCUAACAGCAGAAAUAUAUUUGAAAAUAUUCAGGCUUUUGUAGUGAUACCACAAAAAAAUUAAAUUUUAUAUAAAUAUAUUUAUAAUUUCCUAUUCAUCUAUUUUACAUUAAAAAAAGAAUACUGUAGGAUAUUGUAAAUAUUUUCUAAUAAAAUAUAGCAUAUUAAUUUAUAAAUAUAAUUUUUAUUGUAAAAUUUUAGAUAUAUAUAAUGUACAAAUUUAUAUCGAUUUGAGAUAAAUUAUAAUAAUUGUUACAUGCAUUUGUACGUAUAAUCAACUAGUAUCUAUAAAAAAUUAUAUGCAACUAAGCCUUU
Molecule: long non-coding RNA, 1775 nt
Filed under: Ananas comosus (pineapple)
Lineage: Eukaryota; Viridiplantae; Streptophyta; Magnoliopsida; Poales; Bromeliaceae
Description: long non-coding RNA (ACOM_LNC033091)
Source: RNAcentral